UUGCAGUCAAUAAGCCAACUGGGUGCCCUCGCGGGUGGGCAUGCAGGAUGCAGUGGCUAGGCACAGCAACCCCUCGGUGGGGUGCACAGCCUGUUGUGUGUACCAGCUGCUGUAGGGACCUUGAAGAUACCA
Molecule: small nucleolar RNA, 132 nt
Organism: Octodon degus (degu)
Lineage: Eukaryota; Metazoa; Chordata; Mammalia; Rodentia; Octodontidae
Gene: SNORA70
Rfam family: Small nucleolar RNA SNORA70
About the family: snoRNA U70 seems to be exclusive to mammals and is a member of the H/ACA class of snoRNA which contain H (ANANNA) and ACA box motifs. H/ACA box snoRNAs are involved in the conversion of uridines to pseudouridines (5-ribosyluracil) a constituent of structural RNAs (transfer, ribosomal, small nuclear, and small nucleolar).
Source: Ensembl